RNAcentral lists this long non-coding RNA (600 nucleotides) under Bos taurus (domestic cattle). Its description in RNAcentral is "long non-coding RNA NONBTAT025045". Lineage: Eukaryota; Metazoa; Chordata; Mammalia; Artiodactyla; Bovidae. The record is from RNAcentral.
UCUUUGCAUUUACUAUGUGUUUUCUAAUAUUAAAUAUCCUGAGAUUAAAUAUAAAUAUUUUCUUACAAAGUUUGAAGUUAUUUUUUUACAUUUAACACAGUGACUUAUUUACUCCAUCUAUACAUUUUUUUCCAUUAGCAUAAGAUUUGAGGGGAGAUUUUAAAUUUGUAGUUUUCCAAAUAGCCUAGCCCUCCAACACUAUAGGUUGAAUCUUUGAUUGAAUGUGUAUUUGUUGGCAGUGCUUCUCUUACUGAAUGUUAAAUUUCUAAGUACAUUAGGGUUUUAGAGCUUUAUAUUAAAUAUCACUGAUAAAUGUAAAUUGUUGGGUAAAUACAGACACUUUUUACUUAUAACUUUACAAUUACAUGAUAAUUAAAUUCUCUUCAGAGCUCUUUCAAUAAGAAGAAUGUUAUUAGAAUAACAUUUGCAAAGUUUACAUUUUAAAAUCGAGCAGAUUAGUAAUUUGACUUUGGAAAAAUUUACAUUUUCAUAAUUCUUAGUUAUAUCACCUAAGAAAACAGCAUAGUUUUACAUUUAAAAUAUUGUAUUUUCUCCAAAGUGGUAUACUUUUUCUUCAAAUUUUCCUAAUAAACUUUUAUU